UACGUAGGGACCAAGCGUUGUUCGGAAUUACUGGGUUUAAAGGGUGCGUAGGCGGCUUGUUAAGUCAGGAGUGAAAGUUUGCGGCUCAACCGUAAAAUUGCUUUUGAUACUGGCAGGCUAGAAUUAGGAUGAGGUUAGCGGAAUGUGGCAUGUAGCGGUGAAAUGCAUAGAUAUGCCAUAGAACACCAAUUGCGAAGGCAGCUGGCUAGACCUAUAUUGACGCUGAGGCACGAAAGCGUGGGGAGCGAACAGG
RNAcentral lists this ribosomal RNA (253 nucleotides) under uncultured bacterium. RNAcentral describes it as "partial 16S ribosomal RNA". It matches the Rfam family "Bacterial small subunit ribosomal RNA", at positions 524 to 776 of the family's 1533-position model. The record is from RNAcentral.